Long non-coding RNA from Mauremys reevesii (Reeves's turtle), 657 nucleotides. RefSeq lists it as uncharacterized. The transcript has 4 exons. Lineage: Eukaryota; Metazoa; Chordata; Testudines; Geoemydidae. The record is from RefSeq and is a predicted model, not a curated record.
GCUUCAGCCAGACAGCUGCACCUUGGCUUUUGCCAGCCUGGGUUAUACUGCAGGGUGACCCCAACACACCUCUAGUCCCAGAUCAUCCCUCAGAAAUGUGCAGAGAAUGCAAUCGGCAGGAAGAGAGAGGAGGAUGCUUUGGGAACUGGUGAGAAGACAUUCCAUGAAGUGUAAAAGGAGAGAGGGUAGUGUCCCCAGUGUCUCGCUGUAGAGCUUUUUUUUACCUCUUUGAACUAGUCUCUUUUCGAAAUGGAAGAGUCAGAGUACACCUCCCAACAUUCCCAGUAGCUAAAGCAGGACAGAUGCUGACCCCAGGGAUGGGGAGCAGAAACAGGACAGAGAGUUGCAGAGCAACUCACCCUGCAGUGGAGGAUCUUGUCUCCUCAGAGACAGAAGCUGCAUUUUCUAUCUUUGGUCUCUUCUUUCCCCUCUUGCAUAUGUUUGUCUUGUUUUUUGCUCUUAGGAAAUGGGACCAGACUUUAACUGGAGCAACAAUGACCGUUCCAGCCUAGCUCAGCUAACUACUUCUCUUUGCCCCCAAAAGGGCAGUAAUGACCAUCUGUAAUACCAUCUAAAAGACUGUCAGAUGAGGUGGUGGGUCCUUCUAAAAUCUUCCUCUAGUUAGAGAAAGGGAACAAGGCUGUUGUUAAAAUGAAA